This 445-nucleotide long non-coding RNA is filed under the name Medicago truncatula (barrel medic). RNAcentral's name for it is "long non-coding RNA (MTRU_LNC004855)". The record is from RNAcentral. Lineage: Eukaryota; Viridiplantae; Streptophyta; Magnoliopsida; Fabales; Fabaceae.
CCAAAUUGAGACACUUAAUAGUUAAGGGAUCAAAUUGAGAAAAUAAAAUAAGUUAAGGGACAGUGGGAUGUAUUAAGCCUAAAAAAUACUAAGCUAACUUUCUCCACAGCCGGUUGCUAUGGACAGGUGUCCUGGAAAAAGCAACUUUCCCAUGAUGGGAAAGAAGUGUGCUUUCCCAGGUUAAACUGCACCCACUGAUUGUAUAUCAAGUGUUCAACCAAACUUAUUCUUUGUAAUAUGUUUGUUAGGAAGUGUCUUGCUUUUGUGAUUGUGCAUAUGAAGUAUCUUGCUUGUGUGCUUGAGUAGUUGACGUCUCUUGCUUGUGUGCUUGCGAAAUUGUAAUCUUUUGUGAUUAUAGUGAAAAAUGUCCUUGGAAGUGCAAGGGGGUUUGGACUACUUCUGGAUUGUGGAAGAAUUGUUUGUGUCUCUCUUCUCUCUCUCUCUC